AAACACUAGCUAUAAUUGUUGCUAGAAGUUAAAAUUGUAUUCUUUCAUACACAAGUAAACUCUCUCUUGUUCUCUGACCAAGUUCAAUCCAGUGUGUUUUUUCAACUUUAGUGGAUAAAAAUGAUAUAUUUGACAAUAAACAGGAGAUUUCCAUUGGUGCAUAUUUACACUUUUUCAUUGCUUUGCUCACUAUCCUGGUAUCUACAGAACUGUAGUUUUGUGGUUUCUUUGGCUGCUUGUGGCAAUAGAAAAUUGGAUUAUACUAGCUAGUCUAGUUAUUUAGCUUCUGAUGGAAAACUUACAUGUUUACAAGCGCUUUUAUCCUAUGGAGAUCUUGUAAAUCAUGU
Molecule: unclassified non-coding RNA, 347 nt
Filed under: Hevea brasiliensis (rubber tree)
Lineage: Eukaryota; Viridiplantae; Streptophyta; Magnoliopsida; Malpighiales; Euphorbiaceae
Source: RNAcentral